UGGGAGUCCCGGGGGCGGAGUCAACCUCGCCCUCCGCCUGGCCCCGCCAACAGGUGAUCCCGCCCUCGAGCCCUGCCCCUUCGGCCCCGGCGAAGCCCAGGUGUAAGCGGGCGAAUCAGGUUGUCCUCUACCUGGCCCAGCUCCUACGUUGGCAGUUCUAUGAGAUUGCAGGUCAAGAAGUUGGAAGUAUUUGUUUACAGGCUCAACUAUCUCCAUAUGCAGGCAUCUCUGCAAUUUUCCUGGCUUUUCCAUGGUAGCUGCAGAAUAGCUACUUCAGCUCCAGGCACUAGAAGAAAAGAAGGCAAGAAGAGGAGAAACCAGUGCCAGAAAUAUCUGUCCAUUUUUAUCAGGAAAGCAAAAGUUUCCCCAGAAUUGUCCAUCAUAAGGCCGCCUCUUACUGCAGGGUAGGCAAAGAUAGCAUUUAGGCUAACAAAAUAGAGGGAAUCCAAAACAGAUGUUAAGAUGCCCUGUCCACUGGACCACUUCUUUGCUUCUGGUCCCAUUUCACCACUUUAGAACUCUGUCCCGUUCCUAAGCUCCAUUCCCUCUUUCAGUGUACAACUAUGACUUCUCAUUCUCUCCAAAGCAAAAAAAGCCCAAAGCAGUAAGACUUGCUCUUUCUGGCCCCCAUUUCCAAAACCUGCCUUUAUAGAGUAUGAAGUCAGGGAGCAUGGGCUCCCUCCAGUUCACCCACCUGUGAUCUACGAAAGGACAUACCCUGGUUGGCAUUGCCCUAAGUUGUUCACUGGCUCCAGCAGCUCAAACCACAGUAGAAAACUCACCCAAACAUACCCAGGGCUCUCUGUCCCUCUGUCCCUCAAUUGCUUCCAUGUAUAAUGACCUUUUAUAGCUCAGUUCCAACACAGCUUUUCCCCUAAAAAUUUUGUGAGGUACCUCCAAGCAGGAGUAACAUCUCCCACCCAUCUAUCUUCAGACACUUGGGAUGAUACCCUUCUAGCACUGUGCACUAUAUUCCCUGUUAGUUGAACUGGCCUGUAAACUUUUUGAUAAGCUCUUAUAAGUCAUGUUAGUUUUUGUGCUCCCUAUUGACCUGGCACUGCCUUAUAAAGAAUCAGAAC
Molecule: long non-coding RNA, 1079 nt
Filed under: Urocitellus parryii (Arctic ground squirrel)
Lineage: Eukaryota; Metazoa; Chordata; Mammalia; Rodentia; Sciuridae
Description: lncRNA (ENSUPAG00010001720.1)
Source: RNAcentral